This is a long non-coding RNA of Bos grunniens (domestic yak), 1667 nucleotides long. NCBI's taxonomy places the organism in Eukaryota, Metazoa, Chordata, Mammalia, Artiodactyla, Bovidae. The record is from Ensembl.
CCGCUGGGAGCUCUUCCUGGGGGGGAGGGGGUUCCCUCCCACUAGCUCGAAAAGCAAGAGAGCCUGUCCCCUGCCUUUCCAUGCAGUCUGUUCCUGUAAUCGGGGCCCGGGGCCCACAGUUCUAAUGGACGGAGAUCCAGGCUCCGCGAGGGUCGGUCACCAGCUUCUGCUGUUGGGUUGAGCAAAGCCGUCCCCGUGGGGAACCGGACCAUGUCAACAAGGGGCCGAAGGGCCAAGAGCAUGGGCCAGCCAGCUUCCUGGAGGCCAGGGGGAGAUGCCCCCCAGGGGGCCCAGAUCGCACCCGGGGUGGGGGGCGCGGGCCGGACCCCGCGGCUCUCACGGCCCCCUCCGCCCAGAGCCGGGCCCCCGGGUCCGGCCGCCGGCGGGGCCCUCCCCCGCCACGGGCCCGGGUGCCGCCCCCCGGCUCCUGGCAGAGGCGGGCGUGGAGGCCGAGGAGGAACCGGGGGAGGGGCGGCUCAGUUCCCCGCGCCCCUCCUCACCGGCCACCAUCUUCCGGCCCUGGCCCCCCGGAGCAGCGGGGGAUGGGGCCCAGCCCGCGGCAGGGAGAGAAAGGGCAGGUGGAGGGGCGGCGGGAGCGGCGGGGCAGGCCGGGCCCGCGGCCAUGGCGACCAGAGGGGCUGCCCGGAGGGUCCCAGGAACGGGGCGCGGGGGGCGGAGUGAGGGGGGCGUGCGCUCCUUCCACACCCAGCUCGGCGCCGCCCCCCACCCCCACCGCCCCCGGGACACACACACCUGAGGCUGGACCACACACGGGCGCGCGCGCACACACUCCAGCCACACUUGCUGCACGGCUCAGCUUACUACACACUUACCCAGACGGCGUGCGUGGGGGGGAGCCCGCAGCUCGCGCUCCGAGCGCACCCCUCCAGGCCCGGCAACUCUUAAGGCAGGGGCGGGCCUCACCCCCGCGCGCAGCCCCCGGCUCGUCCCACAACUUCUCCCGACGCACAACUCCGCGCUGGGUUCAGCCCUGCGGCCCCUGCAUUCCCCCCUCAACGCCCCCGCCAAGUCCCCUGUGCCCCACAGCCCCUGCACGCACACACACAGACACACACACACCCCCUGCGCGCGCGCGCACACACACCCCUGCGCGCGCACACACAGACACACACACACCCUGCGCGCGCGCACACACACACCCUGCGCGCGCACACACAGACACACACACACACCCUGCGCGCGCGCACGCACACACACACCCUGCACACAGACACACAUACACGCACGCCCGGGCACACACAGAUGGCCCAGCGGCGAAAGAAGAAACCAGAAGAGAUGCCCGCGCGGAGGGGACGGCGGGGGCAGAGAAGACGGAGGAGGGGCCCGGCCCGCCCCCGGCCCUCGCCGAGAGGAUGCGCCCCCCCAGUCCGCGGCGCUGGCCCUCGGGGCGCCCCGAUACCUACACGCCGCGCCUCCUUCCGCUCCUCGGCCCGCCGCCUCCCUCUUCCCGGGCCCUUUCUCUGCCCUCCCCGCCCCGGCGCCCCCCGCCCCCCCCGCCGCCCCACGCCCCCCGCCCGCCGCCCUCCCGGGCCGGGCUCGGGCCCCGCGGCGUCCGCGGCCGAGACGGGGCGGGGCGUCGGGCGCCGCGCCCGCGCCGGGCCCCCCGCGCCCCCUUCUCCUUCCACACUCCCUGCCGUCCAUCUUGA